Chenopodium quinoa (quinoa) is the source of this 1312-nucleotide long non-coding RNA. RefSeq lists it as uncharacterized. The transcript is spliced from 2 exons. Lineage: Eukaryota; Viridiplantae; Streptophyta; Magnoliopsida; Caryophyllales; Amaranthaceae. The record is from RefSeq and is a predicted model, not a curated record.
AUGUCAUUAGAUAAACAAAAUCAUCAAUAUAUUAUAUUUUCUCAUAAAUAUGAUGGCAUGCAUAAAAAGUUAUUGUAGGAAUUAGAAACCAUGUUUAAAAAGUAAUUGGCUAAUUUACAUUCGGAAACAAAAUAAGGCAUUGUCAUGGAUUAAUUUUCUUGUUCUUCUUUUUUCCCCUCUCUAUAUUUUUGAAAUCUCUCUUUAAGUUCUCGAAAAGACUUCAGUAAGUUCAGUCUAUCUUCUGGCGGAAUAUAACGAUGGCCGUAAGGUGAUCAGUGGCGGACCUGGGCUUAUGCCUGGUGGGUCAAGUGACUCACCAGGGCCCAAAAAAAAUUUUAAGUUUUUUUUUAAAAAAAAAAUAAAAUAAAAAAUUCUAACGUUUGAGUUAGCCCUAGCCCACUUCGCCAGUUCGCCUCUUCCUCUUCGCAAGUUCGCAUCUUCCUCUUUGCCUCUUCCUCAGACCUCAGUUCCUCUUCACUAGUUCGCUUCAUCUUCCUCUUCGCAUAAUUUCAGGUUAGUCAUCUACUCAUCUUUCGGCUUUUUUUUUUAUUUAUUUAUUUAAUUGUUGAUAUUACUUGUUAGUUGUUAGUUAUGAAUUAUGAUUUAGUAAUACUAAAUUUGAACCCUAAAUCCCUAAUUGUUCAAUAAUCAACUCAAUUUCAGAGAAUUUUGCAUUAUCUGAAUUGUGAAUUUGUGAAAUGUUUGAACCCUAAAUCCCUAAUUGUGAAUUUGUGAAAUGUAAAAUGUUAGUUAUCAACUCAAUCCCUAAUUGACUAAUUGUUCAUAAUCUACUGCUCUUCGCUAGUUUGCUCACGUCUCCAGUGCUGGCUGUGCUGCUGGCCUGCUGGCUGCUGCUCGCCUAGUCGCCUGCUCCAGCCUCCAGUGCUCUGUGCAGCUGUGCUCUGUCCUCUACUGCUCGCCUAGUCGCCUGCUCCAGUGCCUAGUCGCUGACUUGCUGUCUUGCUGAGUGUUGGGCAUGGCAGUGCUGCUCCGCCUGCUCCGCUGCUCGCCUCAAUCAUUCAGCGCCUGCCGCCUCCGCCUAGCAAGGGAAGACUCAGCUUAUCAAUCAUUUUCUAAUCAACAAGAGUUGGUAUAUUGUUAAUUUGCCUGGAUAUGGGUGAGUCUCUGUAAUUUUGGUUUUAAUUUGGGCAAUUUCUGUAAUUCUUGAGUCUAUUUCAUGCUGGGAAUAUUGUAUACUUGUAUUGUGAAUCAAUUGUUAUUCGUGUUUAUUCCUGAUCAUAUGCUUGAAUCAUAUUGAAGUGCCAAAAAAGGAUUGCUUUUACGCCUUGAGGCAUUGCUUCAAAAUUAUUGA